ACGCUGGCGGCGUAGCCUAACACAUGCAAGUCGAACGACCGAAUUGGAGCUUGCUCUAAUGAGGUUAGUGGCGGACGGGUGAGUAACGCGUGGAUAACCUGCCAUAUACUGGGGGAUAACAGCUGGAAACAGCUGCUAAUACCGCAUAAAACUGUAGAGUCGCAUGACUUUAUAGCCAAAGCUCCGGCGGUGUAUGAUGGAUCCGCGUCUGAUUAGGCAGUUGGCGGGGUAACGGCCCACCAAGGCGACGAUCAGUAGGGGUUCUGAGAGGAAGGUCCCCCACAUUGGAACUGAGACACGGUCCAAACUCCUACGGGAGGCAGCAGUGAGGAAUAUUGGUCAAUGGACGUAAGUCUGAACCAGCCAAGUAGCGUGCAGGAUGACGGCCCUAUGGGUUGUAAACUGCUUUUAUGCGGGGAUAAAGUGUGGGACGUGUCCCAUAUUGCAGGUACUGCAUGAAUAAGGACCGGCUAAUUCCGUG
RNAcentral lists this ribosomal RNA (481 nucleotides) under uncultured bacterium. RNAcentral describes it as "bacterial SSU rRNA". It matches the Rfam family "Bacterial small subunit ribosomal RNA", at positions 33 to 507 of the family's 1533-position model. The record is from RNAcentral.